GAUGAACGCUGGCGGCGUGCCUAAUACAUGCAAGUCGAGCGAACAGACGAGGAGCUUGCUCCUCUGACGUUAGCGGCGGACGGGUGAGUAAAACGUGGAUAACCAACCUAUAAGACUGGGAUAACUUCGGGAAACCGGAGCUAAUACCGGAUAAUAUAUUGAACCGCAUGGUUCAAUAGUGAAAGACGGUUUUGCUGUCACUUAUAGAUGGAUCCGCGCCGCAUUAGCUAGUUGGUAAGGUAACGGCUUACCAAGGCAACGAUGCGUAGCCGACCUGAGAGGGUGAUCGGCCACACUGGAACUGAGACACGGUCCAGACUCCUACGGGAGGCAGCAGUAGGGAAUCUUCCGCAAUGGGCGAAAGCCUGACGGAGCAACGCCGCGUGAGUGAUGAAGGUCUUCGGAUCGUAAAACUCUGUUAUUAGGGAAGAACAAAUGUGUAAGUAACUAUGCACGUCUUGACGGUACCUAAUCAGAAAGCCACGGCUAACUACGUG
Molecule: ribosomal RNA, 497 nt
Filed under: uncultured bacterium
Lineage: Bacteria
Description: partial 16S ribosomal RNA
Rfam family: Bacterial small subunit ribosomal RNA
Source: RNAcentral